RNAcentral lists this long non-coding RNA (747 nucleotides) under Pan troglodytes (chimpanzee). RNAcentral's name for it is "long non-coding RNA NONPTRT000620". The record is from RNAcentral. Lineage: Eukaryota; Metazoa; Chordata; Mammalia; Primates; Hominidae.
AGAGUCCAAUUUCAACACAGAGGAAUUUCACCCAAUAGGAAAAAAUUUUCUUCUUUAGAUACUGUUAUGCUAAAUCAACCAAGAAAACAUUUAAAGGUUGCUUCACCAGAAAAUUAGAAGAGUCUCCCUGGCUUUACGGGAAGAACAACUCACAAAAUAUAGAUUAAUCUGUGAUGUCAUCUUUGUAUGUGAUGAACUGCAUGUUUUACCAAACUAGGAGAUCUAAGGUCUUGCAGAUGAGCUGGUUGUAAACUUACCUCUAAGAGAGAAUAUGGAGAAUUCUCGGUCAAGAAUGUAUUAACAGCACAUUCUUUCCAAGCCUGAACCUCAGCUACUAGGGUUUCCACAAGAAAAAUUACAGCAGUUUAGAGAAAAGAACACUCCUAUGAAAAACAGGAAAAGCUUAAUUCAGAUUGGUCCAUUGAGUACUUCAGAUUACUCCAUGAUCUCAACAUGCUAAAUUCACAAACGCUGACUAACCUGCCAGCUGACCAAUGAUAUUGGGGGUAGAAGUGACAUUUGUUCCUUCAUUACACAAACAGAGAACCUAGUUUGGGUCUUUUGUUGGUGGUGGUGGUAGUGUUUUUUUUUUUUUUUUUCUUUUUUUAAGACGGAGUAUCACUCUUGCCUGGGCUGCAAUGCAGUGGUGCAAUCUCAGCUCACUGCAACCUCUACCUCCGGUUCAAGCAAUUCUCCUGCCUCAGCCUCCCGGGUAGCUGGGAUUACAGGCACCCAUCACCACGCCCA